This 492-nucleotide ribosomal RNA is filed under the name uncultured bacterium. Its description in RNAcentral is "partial 16S ribosomal RNA". It matches the Rfam family "Bacterial small subunit ribosomal RNA", at positions 29 to 507 of the family's 1533-position model. The record is from RNAcentral.
AGUGAACGCUGGCGGUAGGCCUAACACAUGCAAGUCGAACGGCAGCACAGUAAGAGCUUGCUCUUACGGGUGGCGAGUGGCGGACGGGUGAGGAAUACAUCGGAAUCUACUUUUUCGUGGGGGAUAACGUAGGGAAACUUACGCUAAUACCGCAUACGACCUACGGGUGAAAGCAGGGGAUCUUCGGACCUUGCGCGAUUGAAUGAGCCGAUGUCGGAUUAGCUAGUUGGCGGGGUAAAGGCCCACCAAGGCGACGAUCCGUAGCUGGUCUGAGAGGAUGAUCAGCAACACUGGAACUGAGAAACGGUCCAGACUCCUACGGGAGGCAGAAGUGGGGAAUAUUGGACAAUGGGCGCAAGCCUGAUCCAGCCAUACCGCGUGGGUGAAGAAGGCCUUCGGGUUGUAAAGCCCUUUUGUUGGGAAAGAAAAGCAGCAGGUUAAUACCCCGCUGUUCUGACGGUACCCAAAGAAUAAGCACCGGCUAACUUCGUG